This 244-nucleotide long non-coding RNA is filed under the name Salvia miltiorrhiza (redroot sage). RNAcentral describes it as "long non-coding RNA (SMIL_LNC001527)". The record is from RNAcentral. Lineage: Eukaryota; Viridiplantae; Streptophyta; Magnoliopsida; Lamiales; Lamiaceae.
GAUGUUCACGAGAAUGGUAGAGAUCACACUCUGUUGUUAGGAAGACCCUUUAUGGUAACCACUAACACGUUGAUUGAUGUUAAAAAUGGAACUAUUAAAAUGACGGUGUUAGGGAAGUCGGUGUCUUUCUCGGUGCAUGAAAAUCGUGCAAUACCUUCUGCAAAUUUUAUUAAUGAAUGCUCAUAUAUAGAUGCUAUUAAUGGCUUGGUUGAGAAGGUAUUUGUGCAGGAACAGGAGUGUGUGG